RNAcentral lists this ribosomal RNA (746 nucleotides) under uncultured cyanobacterium. RNAcentral describes it as "bacterial SSU rRNA". It matches the Rfam family "Bacterial small subunit ribosomal RNA", at positions 8 to 796 of the family's 1533-position model. The record is from RNAcentral. Lineage: Bacteria; Bacillati; Cyanobacteriota.
AGAGUUUGAUCCUGGCUCAGGAUGAACGCUGGCGGUCUGCUUAACACAUGCAAGUCGAACGGGUGUAGCAAUACAUUAGUGGCGGACGGGUGAGUAACGCGUGAGAAUCUGGCUUUAGGUUCGGGACAACCACUGGAAACGGUGGCUAAUACCGGAUGUGCCCUUGGGUAAAAGGUUUACCGCCUGAAGAUGAGCUCGCGUCUGAUUAGCUAGUUGGUGUGGUAAGAGCGCACCAAGGCGACGAUCAGUAGCUGGUCUGAGAGGAUGAUCAGCCACACUGGGACUGAGACACGGCCCAGACUCCUACGGGAGGCAGCAGUGGGGAAUUUUCCGCAAUGGGCGAAAGCCUGACGGAGCAAGACCGCGUGAGGGAGGAAGGCUCUUGGGUCGUAAACCUCUUUUCUAUGGGAAUAAGAAAGUGAAGGUACCAUAGGAAUCAGCAUCGGCUAACUCCGUGCCAGCAGCCGCGGUAAUACGGAGGAUGCAAGCGUUAUCCGGAAUGAUUGGGCGUAAAGAGUCCGUAGGUGGUUAUUCAAGUCGAUUGUUAAAGAGCGGGGCUUAACCCCGUAGAAGCAGUGGAAACUGAAUAACUAGAGAGAGGUAGGGGUAGAGGGAAUUCCCGGUGUAGCGGUGAAAUGCGUAGAGCUCGGGAAGAACAUCGGUGGCGAAAGCGCUCUACUGGACGGCAACUGACACUCAGGGACGAAAGCUAGGGGAGCGAAUGGGAUUAGAUACCCCCGUAGUCC